CCUACGGGUGGCAGCAGUGAGGAAUAUUGGUCAAUGGCCGGAAGGCUGAACCAGCCAUGCCGCGUGCAGGUCAGUGCCCUAUGGGCGUUAAACUUCUUUUGUGCGGGAGCAAUAAUGGUCACGUGUGGCCAGACGAGAGUACCGUACGAAUAAGCAUCGGCUAACUCCGUGCCAGCAGCCGCGGUAAUACGGGGGAUGCAAGCGUUAUCCGGAUUUAUUGGGUUUAAAAGGGGCGUAAGCUGUGAGGUAAGUCAGCGGGGAAAUGCCCCCGCUCAACGGGGUGAAGUGCCAUUGAUACUGCCUUGCUGGAAUGCGGAUGCCGUGGGAGGAAUGUGUGGUGUAGCGGUGAAAUGCAUAGAUAUCACACAGAACACCGAUUGCGAAGGCAGCUCACGAAUCCGCGAUUGACGCUGAUGCACGAAAGCGUGGGGAUCAAACAGGAUUAGAUACCCUUGUAGUC
RNAcentral lists this ribosomal RNA (460 nucleotides) under uncultured bacterium. RNAcentral describes it as "partial 16S ribosomal RNA". It matches the Rfam family "Bacterial small subunit ribosomal RNA", at positions 338 to 795 of the family's 1533-position model. The record is from RNAcentral.